RNAcentral lists this small nuclear RNA (20 nucleotides) under Arabidopsis thaliana (thale cress). Its description in RNAcentral is "snRNA_11175". The record is from RNAcentral. Lineage: Eukaryota; Viridiplantae; Streptophyta; Magnoliopsida; Brassicales; Brassicaceae.
UGGAUGUUCCAUCUGAAUGA